UUGACAAAGUGAAUCAUCACUGUCUAGUCUUUCUUGUAUAUGAAUUUGAAGUAUUGAUUAAAGUUGUAGCAUACCUGUAAUUUUAAGUUGUAAAACUUUAACACUCACAAAAGAACAUUGAAAGACUGCAAAUUUCUAGACUUGGAGGUUAUAAUUCCUUCUGUAUGUUACUACUAUCAGCUUAUAAAGUUUUAAAAAAUGUGAAUGUAGAAACUUAUAUAAACUGUAUUCACACAUGAAGCAUAGCCUAAAUGCUCCGGACUGAUAAUCUGAAGGUCAUUCUAACCUGGCUGAUUGAACUACUUUUAUUCAUAGAAGCCAAAGUUUUGAAAGGUACAGAUAGAAUCUUGACUACCUUGCAUUCCCAGUUACGUUUUAAUUCCAAAAUAACUAGCUCUUUAGUCACUGGAAACAAAACACUUUUAGCAUUUAACUUUAUAAUACUUGAAAUCCUACCUUGAAAGCAUUCAUACUCAUUAAAAGCUCAACACAUGAUCCAUGUUUACAUAAGGAUUUGGGUGUUACUUAAAAUGAUCAUGUAAUGAGCUGCUUCUCUGCAAAUUAAUAUUCACUCCCUUCCCUCAUCCUUAAUGUGGGAUCUUUGAAGGAAAAGGAAGUGACCAAACUAAAGACAUAGGGAAAUGCAAAAUCAAGGUGAAAAGUUAACCAUAGGGUUGUUUUAAUUUUGGCCAUAAACCCCCUAGUGAAUAAUGGUAACAGUAUUGUUUUGAGACCCAUUUUGUGGCGUUUACCUAUUGUUAAACUAAAUUGACUAGAUGUAAAUAUAUUUUUAUCUUCAGAUGUUUAGAAUUUCUAUCCUUCCCCAUUGUUUCUGGAUUUUGAUACUAAUCUUUUUUCUUUGCAUAUUGUAUAUAUUUACUCAACAACUAAUCUAAUUUUAGAUUUUUAGCUUAUCCACAUUUCAUUUUUGUUUGUUUCAUUGGUAUUUCAUCAAUACAAUGGCUCUACCCUCCAAGGAAAAAAAAACAUCAGCCCGUCCCACAAAAAUGCAUAUAUAUAUUCAAGAAAGAUAAACUACAUUGUGAUGAUUCAAUCAUAAAGCUACUCAAGGAUGUGCUCCACCAAAAUGAGGAUAUGAAGCCAAUAUAAAGGAAGGCAAUGAAUACAAGAGACAGGCAAAGGGAGUUCCCAGGACAUAAGCAAGGGACAUCCCAGGUAGCAAGUGUGCACCUGGUGUCCAGGGCCAUCUGUCCAGGCCUCUAGCAGUGGUGUGGUGUGAAGACAAAGCACUGGAUUUGUAGACACACAGACCCCAAGUCAAAUGCCAGCUCAAUCAUAUGCUAUUUAUGCGACCUCAGAAAGUGACCCAACCCCUCUGAAUCUUAAUUUCCUCAUCCGUAAAAUGGGGCCAUGUGAUAGCCACCUCAUGUGCUAAGCCAUUAAAUGAACUUAUGUUUAUAAAGUAUCUGGCAGAUGCUCAAAAAAUAUCAGUUCCUUCCUAUCUGAAGUAGUGAAUCUCCUCACAGAUUCAGAGCAGUAAUCGUUUGAAUCAUAUGAUGAUAAUGUAUAUUCAUCUCUAAUGCAAUCAGAUAGGGAAUUAAAAUACAUAUUUAAAUGUCUUCUUGUUUUAACUUUUACAUGAUAUAAAACAAUCAGUUUUCCUAUCCUAGAAAGAUAUGCCUUAAAGAUAAUUUAUUUAGUCCAAUUAGAUAGCUAUUUUGAUGUCCUGUAGACACAACUUGAAUGCUUAUGUGUCACAUAUGGCCUAGUACCAUGAGAAGACUUGAGGAACGCUCAAGGCCUGUAGGUGAUAGAAUAGUCAAAACGUGUCCCACCCAACCAGUCUCCCAAAUUGCUACAUAACCCCUUGAGACCCUGUGAAUCAUAAUUUAUAAGCAACUAUUCAUAGAUUUAGGCAUUUUCCCCAGGGUGUUAUUUAUAUGAGGCUGCUAACGAUCAACUUUAAUAUGUGUAUGUAUUUUCUUUGCUAAGUAUUAGCUCUAACACCUGACUCACAAAAGUGGAGGGAGGGGGGAAGGAAAAAUCCACUAAGUUAGAGAGGCCAGAGAGACCCCUUGCAGAGAGAGGAUGGCAAGGAAAGUCAACCUUUGAAGAAAGGCCUCCCUAAGGAACAAGGACCAUGUGGUCCUGUGAUCCUCUGUAAUCUAAGUGCCAAGACUUGGUGCCAAGAAUAAAUGAUCCCGGUUGAUGAAGAGCAAUCUGCCACUUCUAAGAUUUGAUCAAAGAUCAGAAAACCAUCUCUGUGCUGCUGCUUCUCACAUCUGCUCACAUUUUAACAGUUUAGUGCCUAUAACAGGAAGUGCCUAUUUUCACAUUGAAAUUUUUGCAUUCAGUAGAAAUAUUUUUGUUUUAAAUAAUUUAAAAAUAUAACCGUGAGCAUCUUUAAAUUUUCAUAAUUGGCUCACAGUAAAAUAGAUUUCUCACCUCUGAUUUAGGUGAAAUAACAUUGUUUCUGCUUUGCAUUAUUCUACUUUCUCUACCUCAAACAAGAACAAAAAUUCUUUUAAUAAUCAAUUGAGCUCAUCAGUUUCUUUAAUUGAACAUCUGCCAGAUUCUGGGGAUACCAAGAUGACUGUGAAAGAGUAUCUUCCCUGGAGGAACUCAAUUUCUUUUUGGGGGUGAUAGUGGAGAGAGGGGAACCCAGAUUUGGAAAGAGACAAUGGUGAUAAGAAUGACAAUAAAAGUAUGUACAAAGGUUAAGAUAACACAAAAGAUAGAAAGGCCAACCCUGGAGCUUUCCAAAAAGGCUUCCACAGAAGAGAUAAAGUUGUGGCUUGAUUUCCCAGGCCUUGUGAGAGCUUGCCAGUCAGGCAGAUACAUUGAAGAUACUCAUGAAGGACAGUGAAGAAACAGAGCUUAGAACCAAACAGUAUGUUUGGAGAAUGGCACAAAGCUCCAUGUGGCUGUGUUAAGCAGUGAAUGUGGGAAGUUAGUAGGAGGUGAGAACCAAGAAACAAGAGAUAGAACAUUCCAUAGAUAAAUAACAGGAGUGACAGGCUCCGAGAUGCAUUGUCAAGAGAGCAUGUGAUGGCGAGGAUGGGCUGGAGUGAGAUGAGAACCUAUUUAGAAGUAGUCCAAGUAAGAGAUAUGGAGGUCCUGAAUUAUGGCAAUAACGUAUCAAGGAUGGAUGAUAACUAAUUAUAAAUCAUCUAAAAAUGGGAAGUACCAUGUAAACCCAUACAAAGAUAUUAAUUAUUGAUAUUAAUUUUCUGCAUGACCUUGAAGUCUGUUUGACAACCCACCCCUAGUUUAGUAAACACUUGCUGUGGCCAAGCCAAAUGCACAAUGCCAUCUACAGUAGGUGCGUGCUACCAUCACACAGCCCUCUCAUGACUUCCCAGGAUUUACUAGGAAGGCUAUUUGUGGAACAAGCUCAUUUUAGCCUCUUAAAUAUCAUAAAAUAAACUGAGAUUGCCCAUUUUGUUUUAAGUAUCCUGCAGAAGACAAUUAACUUUGUUUCCAGCACAAAAGAUAAUGCCAAUAUAACUUUUGUGAAACGUAAAAUGGUGAAAUUUAAGGAUGUGGCUGAAGAUGCCUAUGAUUUUAUAGGCUUUUCACUUAGAUGAAUGAAUGGAUGACUUUGCCACAGCAUUUUCGGCAUUCCAGGCUUGUGAUAAAAUGGAAUCCAGUUCAAGUUUCUUUUAACCUUCAUUUUUAGGAACCUGUGAUUACAUAUAUAAACAUUUAUAAAUAUACACGUUUGGAUUUGACAGUGAUUUAACAUUGUGACCAAAUACCUGUGCUAAAUUCAUCCAUGAGACAGCUGAGGAAAUCAUUUCUGGAAUAAUUUUUACUGUUCUUCAGUGUUCCUCAGGCAGGAAGCCACAGGAAACAAAGUAUUGUGGUGCACAUUUCCCUGCAGGAUUUGGUGUGUCAUUCACUGUGGAGAAUUUUGCUUUCCAGCUGCCUAUAGUUCACAUUUUUGUACUUGCUUUUCCCUCCAGAAUAAUUUGAUGAAGUCAGUUCCUCAGAGAUAGAAAAUCUCUAUUUUUUUAAGAUCAUAUUUGUUGCUUUUCCCAACUGAGAGAUAAACUUGAUUAAAAAGAAAACAUGUAAGUAGCCGGGAUUAAUUAUUUUGACAUAUGAAAUAACCAUGAUCGCAAUAUGAAAUAGUCAUUAGAUAAUUCUAAUAAUCUAAUAGGGUAAGUGCCUUUGGUUGAAUGAAAAUAAGGUCUGUCAAAAUUUUGGAUCAGUUUAAGAUAUAGUAAAUUAGAACCUGGAAUAUGGAAAUGAAAACCACCCUUUUUCGAGAGAACUUCACUAUUCUUUUAUUAGGUCUGAUUUCUACUUUAAAGUUUUUCUACCCUCCUUUUCCUCUCACUUCCCUGCGAAACAUUGUCCCACUCAUAGAUGAGAAAAUAGCAGAAUAAAAUGUUUUAAAAUCAGAACUAAUAUCCUCACGUUAAGCAACUAUUUUUUUUAAACACCUACACCAGUGGGUUUUCAACCCUGCCUGUAAGAAUCACUGGAGGAACUUUUUAAAAAUGCACAGACCUUCACGCCUGUAAUGCCAGCACUUUGAGAGGCCAAGGCAGGCAGAUCACUUGAGGUCAGGAAUUCGAGACCAGCCUGGCUAACAUUGUGAAACCCCGUUUCUACUAAAAGUACAAAAAAAAUUAGCCGGGCAUGGUGGCACGCACCUGUAUCCCAGCUACUCGGGAGGCUGAGUGAGGCAAGAGAAUCACUUGAACUGGGGAGGCAGAGGUUGCAGUGAGCCAAGAUUGCGCCAUUGCACUCCAGCUUGGGCAACAAGAUCGAAACUCCGUCUCAAAAAAAAAAAAAAACAAAACAAAAAAAAACAAAAAAAAAAACGCACAGAUUUCACCUUCGGAAUUACUAAUUUGAUUCGUAUAGGGUGGGACCUGAGUGUUCACAUUUCUCAGAACCUCCCAGGCUGACUUUAAUGUACAGUAGAGUUGAGACCACUGGCCUCUACUGUCCUUUGCAUAGGUGUCCCUAGGCUCUUUUUCAACCUGCCGAACCUGAUUUCUCUAUCACCCACUUAAAGAUUACACUUGGGGUAACAGUGACAAUCAAGCUCUGUGGUCUCCAAAGUGAGGGGUGCAAGAUGAUCUAUUAGAGUGUGAGAAAAAUAUAAGAAGUUUAUUUUUUAAUCACAUCCUUUAAUGAUAUGUUUUUAAAAUAUUUUAUGAUGCACAUAAUAUAUUAGUACAAUAGAUUGGGGGAAGGGCAACAGAACAGAAAACACCAUUUUUCCUGCUACAUAGAUCCCCUAAUUCUCUGCUUUCAAUGAGAGCAGUUUCAAUGUUGGCUUUUUGAUGUCUACUGAUUGCUGCAGACUUCUCUAGAGCUAAGUAUGGAGUUUUAUAAGACGCAUGUCCUCCACUGCACAGCUGUAUUCUAUGACCAACCACAGAACACAAUCUUUUU
Molecule: long non-coding RNA, 5373 nt
Organism: Symphalangus syndactylus (siamang)
Lineage: Eukaryota; Metazoa; Chordata; Mammalia; Primates; Hylobatidae
Source: RefSeq, a predicted model, not a curated record